GUGUGGACUAAUAAUUUUAACAUCUAUUCUAACUGUCAGGUCAGCUAUAGCUUUGAUGAGCUCAUACAAAUCUUUGUCAUGGUGACCUUCAGCGAUCUUGGUCUUUAUAGACAAGCUGUAUAUUUUGUGGUCCCGAAUUUUUCCUUUGCUUUAUGUUACUGGAGAGUCUUAGAAAUUGCCUUGAAUAUAUUCUUGAGAGGACUCUUUAACCCCUAUUUAGAAUUUUUAUGUAGUAGCUGCUCACAAAGACUUGGAUUCUUCCUUUAGCCUCAGCAUUCGGAAAGUUAAAAUACUAAGUAGCUUUUGGUUAACAAAGAGAUGUUCUGUGACGGUGUUGGAUCACUUUAUUUGUGGAUAUUUCAUCACAUGCCAUUUUAACCUUGAUAAUUUAUUUCAAAAUUAAAUUACUUUUCUAAUUCAUUGUGUUAUUGUGCAAUAAAGCUUGAACUAUAAACACUAGAUUAUCUAAUAAUUACAUAAAAUUAGAAAUUACGUCUAGAUAUUUUAGUCAUGAAAUUUUUAUGCUGUCCCUCCCCUCCUCUUGAUCAUAAUGUUUAACGAAUAGAGAAAAUCUCUGAUAAUAAAUAUAACUUUUAAUGCUAGAACUUAAAUUAUAUAUAUAUAUAUAUAUCAAUAGAUGUAUAUCAAUUUCUUCCUGCUAUUACUGCAUCAUAAUUCAUACUUAUUUGUGCAUAUUCCAAUAAACAUUGUACUUAACUAAUUAGUCAUCCUAUGUUAUAAAACCUCAAUAUCUAGUGAAGCAAUAAUAAAAAUGUUGUUGUUAAUUUGUUACUAAAGUGUACAUGAUUAGGAUUUAUGAUUUCUUACCACUAAAAAUAAUAUAUGCAUUAAUUUAGAAUUCUUUGUAAUGCAAAUUUUUUUGUAAGUUUCCAUACAUUUAAGAAAACAAAUAUUUCUAAUAAUGUUAACAAUAUUAAACAUUCUUGAAAGUUAUUAAAAUUAAAAUGGUCUAAUGGUAAUCCUAUCUCAUUGACUUGAAUUACUCCUUUAAAAAAACAACUAUUUUUGCUCACUUAAACCAUUGGUUUAUAGUAGUGUCUGAAUACAUUUGUGUUUGUAUUAUAAUAAAAAAUAAAUACAACGUACCUGUAUUUUACUUUCGUGUUUCUUACGUAGUGCUGAUAGUUUUAAUCCCAUUGUAUCAGAAUCAGAAUGUAGCCUACAAAGCAAAUAUAUUCAAAAUUAUAUUGAAUUAAAGUAUUACAUGUUUUCUAUACAAUCAUUGUAUAUUUUUUUUUAUUUCAAGACUAUGUCAAAUUUUUUUUUCUCUUAUUUUGUUUUACAUAACUUGAUCUAUGUACAUAAUUUAAGGUGUAAAACUCAUGUUUAUUUCUCUUUUCUUUCUGGAAAACAAUAUAGUAAUAUAAUAUAUUUGUAAAUGACUUACAUUUAGGGAAACAAAGACCGACUGUUUUUAACUAGCAAAUAAUGAAUUAAUUUCUCAUUUGAACAGUUACAUCCUAGAUUAAGCUAGUAAAUAUCCUUCUUUUACUUUGAAAGUUAUUCCUCUUCAUUUCCCUUUUUGAAGAAGAGCAAUACGUAUGUAUUACUCCUAGCCAGUUAGGGUUCCUGGGGAGAGAUUUCAGCUCCAAACGUAUUUAGGUUUUCUUGGGUUACGAAAUCGUAAAAAAAUAAUAACGUUUGUCAAUCUAUUAUUGUAAGUGCAAAAUACCACUGACUGGUUCAUUGAUUAAGAAAUCUCUCAAUUAAACUGUCAUACAUGUUUCAUCUAACUCUAUGGUGUUCACUAAGAACAGGAUUUGACACAUUCACAACCGGACGACCACUAUUAGCAAACUAAAAAAAAAAACGAAAGCUUUCUACCAAAUGUUUGUAUUUUUUCUGUUAUUCCAUAAAAGGCCUCAGUCUAAAAAUGAAACAUUUUUUAAAUAUCACGAAAAAAAAUCAGUGUUUUUAAACUACAUUAUUUUUUCGUAAGUCUAGUUAUUUUUAAUAUACCCUACGUCAUUUUCCCUUCCCCUUUAAAAAAAAAGAUCCUUAAAGACUAUAAUUAUUUUUCAAAAGAUAGAAAGACACAAAGAGCAAGGAAUGGUUAUUUGUAACACUAAUUGAAUUAAAAAGUCAAUUCUAGAUGUAUUGUCUUUUACUACAUUUAAAAAGCCACAGAUAAACGAUUACAAUAAACAGAACAAAAUUUAUAUUUUUUAGACAACAAAAUAAAUGUGGAAAGGGGAACGGGAAUGUGGCAUUUAAUUUGGGCCUUAGGAAUAUGUAUUUUUCCUUAGUCCUGAAAACUGAUAUUAUGAAUUAACGGAUUUGAUGGAUAAUACCACUUGCAUUAUGAUUAAGGUUUAAAAAAAAAGUUAAUCAAAUGGGGAGGUUGCGGUCGAAAUAUAAUAUAGAUUGAAUUGAGAAGCAGAAAUUCAUAGAGUGUACGAAGGACUUACUUUUUUUUUUUGGUGUGGGAAAAGUAGAUAGGUAAAAAAUUGCUACUAAAUUAAAUGGCAUAGAUAUGAGUCUGUGUAUGUGUCCGGGGGACAUUCUGAAACGUGUAUUUCCAAAAGCAAGUCAAAAGUCUUAUGUCGAAGAAAAAAUGUGUUUGUGUGUGUGUGUGGGGGGGGGGGGAGUCCAGAGAGUGUGAUUGAAAGAAAGAAAGAAUUAGCGGGCUGUGAAACUUCAUUGUAACAGAUACACUAAUUCACGGGCUAAAAUGUAUGUUAUGUUAAUCUUAAAAUGUGGCUUGUUUAUUUAAUUUAAAAGAAAAGAAGGAGGUGUUUCGCAAUAAUAAACGAUAUAAAGCCAGAGUAUAAAUAUACGAAGGUAACCUCUGUGUUCAGCUAGUGUUAAAUAAAGAAGAGAGUAGAAUAAACUAUUACUACAGAAGUGAAAGACUUUUGAGUACCUUUAUCGGUAAAUUUUCCUGAGCUUAAACGUCGUAAAAAUGUCUUUUUAUCAAGUAAUAUGUUUUAUGUCAAUUUUUACUUUAAAUUCCAAAUCAUUUAGUAUGCUAAAUAAUAUUUAUAUUUUAUUUUAAUGAAAACAAAAAGAGAAAAAACAUGGUCAGUAUGGUUUCCGAAAUUCAAGGUUUAAGAUAAAUUAUGCAUUUUUAUGUGGCAUGAUUGACUUGAUUUCUUCAAGGUUUCAUUUUUACCAGGUAGUAUUGUAAAAGUUCUCACUUUAAAGGCUCUCUGCAAACAGUAUCAGUCGACAUUACCAACAGAAAUUACUUGACAAUUCAGGGCUUUAAUGUCUAAUAAUAGCAGCCAAUAUUUUACAAUUGCCAACUUAUAACAUUGACUAAACAAAUGCUUUACUAAUGAUAACCAUAAUGCCUUAUACACUAAUGUACUGCUGUAUCAAACUCUACCGGCCUCUCAGCCACUUCCCAGAUCUACACUGUUUCAAACUGACUUUACAUUGCACUGAACUAUACUGAACCACACAGAAAUGUCUUAAUUGUGACUUCUUCGAUCUUUAUAUACCUAACGAAAGUCUUCUAGAACCCAAUGGAUCAUUGCUUGUUUGCCUAAGUAAUUUAUGUUAUCUGGCUACACAUAGGAUUACCCCUAUUCAUAUAACAACCAGAGUUAUAACAGUAUGAAUUAGAAAUAAAGAUAUCAUGGAUUACUCACAAUCGAU
This is a long non-coding RNA of Biomphalaria glabrata, 3621 nucleotides long. RefSeq lists it as uncharacterized. Lineage: Eukaryota; Metazoa; Mollusca; Gastropoda; Planorbidae. The record is from RefSeq and is a predicted model, not a curated record. The transcript is spliced from 4 exons.